UUGGUUUUAGAUCGAUGAUUUUGAUAGGAGUGCUGUUGGUGCACUUUGUGAAUACCAGUUAAACCAAUAAAGUUGAGAGCAUUCAAUCUACGUCUUUUGCUUUUUAUCUACUGGUGAUUUUCUCGAUUCCGACGAUCUGAUCAGCGGCACAAGAGCGGCGCAAUCAAGUUAAUCUCAAGAGCGGCAUAACCAGAUUGGCGGCAUAGGAGCAGCGUAACCAGAGGUAAUAUCAGGAGUAACGUAACCAGAGAUAAUAAUCCAUCAAUCAUCCAAUGUCAGACAUCUCAAACAUCGCCAAUAUCCUUAAUUUAUGGUUGAGUUAAACACUACACAUUAUAAAUGAACUUGAUUGUUUUUGAUAAAAGAGAUGCGACGCAAAUAAUCCACACUGGAAUUGCUCAGUCACAGAAGAAGAAACUAACACCAGAAGAUCAAGAAAAUCCCAAGCACAGACUGCAUGCGCUGAUGUUUCUUGUCAUGGUCUCUCAGCUUUUGGCUUGAGCCAGUGGACGAUCUUCCAUAAUGAUUCACCAAAUGACGAUCAAGAUUGGGCAACCGACCACUACAACAGCCAAUCCAUCGAUCGUCCUAUGAUGAUGAUGAUGAUCGAUCCGAUCUGCAGUAGCAAACAAUCAAUUCAGAAAAAUAGAUUCAGUGCUUGUUACAUGGUCAAUCAGAAAGCAGUGAUAUGAUAUGAUAUAAUUAAACAAAGAACAGAUAAUGCAAAGCCGGAUUUGAAGCACAUUGCCUGAUUUCAGGGGAUUUUGCCGGUACAAAUGGACUCUCACGAUGUCAAAAUUUUCAACUUGGAUUACGUAUUGGUAGGCUCGAUCGAUGUCGAUGGAAGUUUACCUGAAUUUUGAGGUAAAAUGAUCUUAACUUUGGUGAUGGCUAUGUCGUUACAUGGAGCGAUUAGAAAAGGUAAUAUACAGCGUUUGGGACAGUAAAACGUUGACUGAUAUCUGCUGCUUCGACUUUUGGAACUGAAGAGAACGAUUUGUUCAAGAUUGUUCAUCACCUGUCCCAUCGUUAAUGUCGUUUGCCUGUGCUGGAUUGUGAAGAGAUGUUGGGCGAAAAAAAUCACCGGUCUUUUUCAAAGUUUUGCAGAACAGAACAAAUGAAAGGGCAUCUAGAUGAUCCAC
This is a long non-coding RNA of Oryza brachyantha (malo sina), 1142 nucleotides long. RefSeq lists it as uncharacterized. Lineage: Eukaryota; Viridiplantae; Streptophyta; Magnoliopsida; Poales; Poaceae. The transcript has 3 exons. The record is from RefSeq and is a predicted model, not a curated record.